RNAcentral lists this ribosomal RNA (220 nucleotides) under uncultured bacterium. RNAcentral's name for it is "partial 16S ribosomal RNA". It matches the Rfam family "Bacterial small subunit ribosomal RNA", at positions 524 to 740 of the family's 1533-position model. The record is from RNAcentral.
UACAUGGGGUGCAAACGUUGCUCGGAAUUAUUGGGCGUAAAGCGCACGUAGGCGGUUUGUUAAGUCGGAUGUGAAAUCCCUCGGCUCAACUGAGGAAGUGCAUCCGAAACUGGCAGGCUUGAGUACUAAAGAGGGUCGCGGAAUUCCCGGUGUAGAGGUGAAAUUCGUAGAUAUCGGGGAAGGAACACCUGGUGGCGAAGGCGGCCACCUGGACAACAAC